RNAcentral lists this ribosomal RNA (388 nucleotides) under uncultured bacterium. Its description in RNAcentral is "bacterial SSU rRNA". It matches the Rfam family "Bacterial small subunit ribosomal RNA", at positions 29 to 417 of the family's 1533-position model. The record is from RNAcentral.
AUUGAACGCUGGCGGCAUGCUUUACACAUGCAAGUCGAACGGCAGCACGGGGGCAACCCUGGUGGCGAGUGGCGAACGGGUGAGUAACACAUCGGAACGUGUCCAGUUGUGGGGGAUAACCCAUCGAAAGGUGGGCUAAUACCGCAUGAGCCGGCAACAGGAAAGCGGGGGACCCGCAAGGGCCUUGUGCGAUUGGAGCGGCCGAUGUCCGAUUAGCUAGUUGGUGGGGUAAAGGCCACCAAGGCUUCGAUCGGUAGCUGGUCUGAGAGGAUGAUCAGCCACACUGGGACUGAGACACGGCCCAGACUCCUACGGGAGGCAGCAGUGGGGAAUUUUGGACAAUGGGGGCAACCCUGAUCCAGCCAUGCCGCGUGAGUGAAGAAGGCCU